AUGAAAGAAGUUUAAAAAGGUACGGCGUAAAGCUGUCGCUAAGGAUGGACCUGCGAUGCAUUAGCUAGUUGGUAAGGUAACGGCUUACCAAGGCGAUGAUGCAUAGCCGAGUUGAGAGACUGAUCGGCCACAUUGGGACUGAGACACGGCCCAAACUCCUACGGGAGGCAGCAGUAGGGAAUCUUCCGCAAUGGACGCAAGUCUGAUGGAGCAACGCCGCGUGAGUGAAGAAGGUUUUCGGAUCGUAAAGCUCUGUUGUUGGUGAAGAAGGAUAGAGGUAGUAACUGGCCUUUAUUUGACGGUAAUCAACCAGAAAGUCACGGGCUAACUACGUGCCAGCAGCCGCGGUAAAU
This 353-nucleotide ribosomal RNA is filed under the name uncultured Lactobacillus sp. RNAcentral describes it as "bacterial SSU rRNA". It matches the Rfam family "Bacterial small subunit ribosomal RNA", at positions 173 to 525 of the family's 1533-position model. The record is from RNAcentral. Lineage: Bacteria; Bacillati; Bacillota; Bacilli; Lactobacillales; Lactobacillaceae.